RNAcentral lists this ribosomal RNA (200 nucleotides) under Drosophila melanogaster (fruit fly). Its description in RNAcentral is "partial ribosomal RNA". It matches the Rfam family "Eukaryotic large subunit ribosomal RNA", at positions 661 to 812 of the family's 3401-position model. Lineage: Eukaryota; Metazoa; Arthropoda; Insecta; Diptera; Drosophilidae. The record is from RNAcentral. RNAcentral also lists the same sequence under 1 other name.
ACGGACCAAGGAGUCUAACAUAUGUGCAAGUUAUGGGAUAUAAACCUAAUAGCGUAAUUAACUUGACUAAUAAUGGGAUUAGUUUUUUAGCUAUUUAUAGCUAAUUAACACAAUCCCGGGGCGUUCUAUAUAGUUAUGUAUAAUGUAUAUUUAUAUUAUUUAUGCCUCUAACUGGAACGUACCUUGAGCAUAUAUGCUGU